RNAcentral lists this transfer RNA (68 nucleotides) under Escherichia coli. RNAcentral describes it as "tRNA-Asn". It matches the Rfam family "tRNA", at positions 6 to 65 of the family's 71-position model. Rfam says of the family: Transfer RNA (tRNA) molecules are approximately 80 nucleotides in length. Lineage: Bacteria; Pseudomonadati; Pseudomonadota; Gammaproteobacteria; Enterobacterales; Enterobacteriaceae. RNAcentral also lists the same sequence under 10 other names. The record is from RNAcentral.
CAUAGCUCAGUUGGUAGUAGCGCAUGACUGUUAAUCAUGAUGUCGUAGGUUCGAGUCCUACUGGCGGA